This 465-nucleotide ribosomal RNA is filed under the name uncultured bacterium. Its description in RNAcentral is "partial 16S ribosomal RNA". It matches the Rfam family "Bacterial small subunit ribosomal RNA", at positions 338 to 795 of the family's 1533-position model. The record is from RNAcentral.
CCUACGGGGGGCAGCAGUGGGGAAUAUUGCGCAAUGGGCGAAAGCCUGACGCAGCGACGCCGCGUGAGGGAUGAAGGUCUUCGGAUCGUAAACCUCUGUCAGCAGGGAAGAACGGUCACUGUGCUAAUCAGCAGUGAAUUGACGGUACCUGCAAAGGAAGCACCGGCUAACUCCGUGCCAGCAGCCGCGGUAAUACGGAGGGUGCGAGCGUUAAUCGGAAUUACUGGGCGUAAAGCGCUCGUAGGCGGUAUGUCAAGUCAAGGGUGAAAUCCCCGCGCUCAACGUGGGAACUGCCUUUGAAACGGGCAAACUGGAGUGUGUGAGAGGAUAGUGGAAUUCCAGGUGUAGGAGUGAAAGCCGUAGAUAUCUGGAGGAACAUCAGUGGCGAAGGCGACUAUCUGGCACAUAACUGACGCUGAGGAGCGAAAGCGUGGGUAGCAAACAGGAUUAGAUACCCUAGUAGUC